Molecule: ribosomal RNA, 253 nt
Filed under: uncultured bacterium
Lineage: Bacteria
Description: partial 16S ribosomal RNA
Rfam family: Bacterial small subunit ribosomal RNA
Source: RNAcentral
GACGGAGGGGGCUAGCGUUGUUCGGAAUGACUGGGCGUAAAGGGCGCGUAGGCGGUUUUUUAAGUGAGGCGUGAAAGCCCUGGGCUUAACCCAGGAGGUGCGUUUCAUACUGGAAAGCUUGAGUACGAGAGAGGAAAGUGGAAUUCCUAGUGUAGAGGUGAAAUUCGUAGAUAUUAGGAAGAACACCAGUGGCGAAGGCGGCUUUCUGGCUCGUAACUGACGCUGAGGCGCGAAAGCGUGGGGAGCAAACAGG